Molecule: ribosomal RNA, 380 nt
Filed under: uncultured cyanobacterium
Lineage: Bacteria; Bacillati; Cyanobacteriota
Description: bacterial SSU rRNA
Rfam family: Bacterial small subunit ribosomal RNA
Source: RNAcentral
CGAAAGCCUGACGGAGCAAGACCGCGUGGGGGAGGAAGGCUCUAGGGUUGUAAACCCCUUUUCUUUGGGAAGAACAAAAUGACGGUACCAAAGGAAUCAGCCUCGGCUAACUCCGUGCCAGCAGCCGCGGUAAUACGGAGGAGGCAAGCGUUAUCCGGAAUUAUUGGGCGUAAAGGGUCCGCAGGUGGUGGGGCAAGUCGGCGGUUAAAGACUGGGGCUUAACUCCAGAAAGGCCGUGGAAACUGCACCACUAGAGGGCAGUAGGGGUAGAGGGAAUUCCCGGUGUAGCGGUGAAAUGCGUAGAGAUCGGGAAGAACACCAGUGGCGAAAGCGCUCUACUGGACUGCAACUGACACUGAGGGACGAAAGCUAGGGGAGCG